This 424-nucleotide ribosomal RNA is filed under the name uncultured bacterium. Its description in RNAcentral is "bacterial SSU rRNA". It matches the Rfam family "Bacterial small subunit ribosomal RNA", at positions 355 to 796 of the family's 1533-position model. The record is from RNAcentral.
UGGGGAAUCUUGGACAAUGGGGGAAACCCUGAUCCAGCCAUGCCGCGUGAGUGAUGAAGGCCCUAGGGUUGUAAAACUCUUUCGGCGGGGACGAUAAUGACGGUACCCGCAGAAGAAGCUCCGGCUAACUUCGUGCCAGCAGCCGCGGUAAUACGAAGGGGGCUAGCGUUGUUCGGAAUUACUGGGCGUAAAGCGCGCGCAGGCGGUCCUUUAAGUCAGGGGUGAAAGCCCAGAGCUCAACUCUGGAACUGCCUUUGAAACUAGAGGACUUGGGUACGGGAGAGGUGAGUGGAAUUCCGAGUGUAGAGGUGAAAUUCGUAGAUAUUCGGAAGAACACCAGUGGCGAAGGCGGCUCACUGGCCCGUUACCGACGCUCAGGCGCGACAGCGUGGGGAGCAAACAGGAUUAGAUACCCCCGUAGUCC